UACGGAGGGUGCGAGCGUUGUCCGGAAUCAUUGGGCGUAAAGGGCGCGUAGGCGGCCAGCACAAGUCAGUUGUGAAAUCUCCGAGCUUAACUCGGAAAGGUCAACUGAUACUGUGCGGCUAGAGUGCAGAAGGGGCUACUGGAAUUCUCGGUGUAGCGGUGAAAUGCGUAGAUAUCGAGAGGAACACCUGCGGCGAAGGCGGGUAGCUGGGCCGACACUGACGCUGAGGCGCGAAAGCCAGGGGAGCGAACGGG
This 254-nucleotide ribosomal RNA is filed under the name uncultured bacterium. RNAcentral's name for it is "partial 16S ribosomal RNA". It matches the Rfam family "Bacterial small subunit ribosomal RNA", at positions 524 to 776 of the family's 1533-position model. The record is from RNAcentral.